GAACCAGCAACUUGGGGGAAUGUAAGCAUAUGUAUGGNCUANCCACGCAUAUGUGUAUNGACUACGUCGUAUAAAGUUCUAGAUAGAUAACUGAUAAUGACAAUUUUCUAUCUAUAUGUCUUGACCAAAUCUCGUGCCAGCAGUCGCGGCAAUACGAGGAAGACUAGUGUUAUUCAUCUUUAUUAGGUUUAAAGGGUACCUAGACGGUAUAUCAAGCCCCAAAAGGGAACAGAUAUACUAGAGUUUUAUGUGAGAGGUAUAUAUUAGUACUAUUGGUGUAGAGAUGAAAUUCUUUGAUACUAAUGGAACGGAUAACAGCGAAAGCAAACCUUUAUGUAUAAACUGACGUUGAGGGACGAAGGCUUGGGUAGCGAAUAGGAUUAGAUACCCUAGUAGUCCAGGCAGAGAAUUAUGAAUGUUAUAGACUUGCGAAAGCAAGUGUAUAAAUGAAAGUGUAAGCAUUCCACCUCAAGAGUAAUGCGGCAACGCAGGAACUGAAAUCAUUAGACCGUUUCUGAAACCAGUAGUGAAGUAUGUUAUUUAAUUCGAUAACCCUCGAAAAACCUUACCACANUUUGAAUAUUAUAGCGCCCCGGCGUUAAAUAAUACAAGUGUUGCACGGCUGUCUUCAGUUAAUGUCGUGAGAUUCUGGUUAGAUCCAUUAAAUUAACGUAAACCCUUGCUUUAUUUGUUUUUAUAAAG
This 702-nucleotide ribosomal RNA is filed under the name Sydowia polyspora. Its description in RNAcentral is "mitochondrial SSU rRNA". It matches the Rfam family "Bacterial small subunit ribosomal RNA", at positions 345 to 1128 of the family's 1533-position model. Lineage: Eukaryota; Fungi; Ascomycota; Dothideomycetes; Dothideales; Dothioraceae. The record is from RNAcentral.